GUAGGGUGCGAGCGUUGUCCGGAAUUAUUGGGCGUAAAGGGCUUGUAGGCGGUUUGUCGCGUCUGCCGUGAAAUCCUCUGGCUUAACUGGGGGCGUGCGGUGGGUACGGGCAGGCUUGAGUGCGGUAGGGGAGACUGGAACUCCUGGUGUAGCGGUGGAAUGCGCAGAUAUCAGGAAGAACACCGGUGGCGAAGGCGGGUCUCUGGGCCGUUACUGACGCUGAGGAGCGAAAGCGUGGGGAGCGAACAGGAUUAGAUACCCUGGUAGUCCACGCUGUAAACGUUGGGCACUAGGUGUGGGGGCCCACCCCGUGGUUUCUGCGCCGUAGCUAACGCUUUAAGUGCCCCGCCUGGGGAGUACGGCCGCAAGGCUA
Molecule: ribosomal RNA, 373 nt
Filed under: uncultured organism
Description: partial 16S ribosomal RNA
Rfam family: Bacterial small subunit ribosomal RNA
Source: RNAcentral